AGCGAACGCUGGCGGCAGGCCUAACACAUGCAAGUUGAACGAACCUUUCGGGGUUAGUGGCGGACGGGUGAGUAACACGUGGGAACGUGCCUUUAGGUUCGGAAUAACUCAGGGAAACUUGUGCUAAUACCGAAUGUGCCCUUCGGGGGAAAGAUUUAUCGCCUUUAGAGCGGCCCGCGUCUGAUUAGCUAGUUGGUUGAGGUAAUGGCUCACCAAGGCGACGAUCAGUAGCUGGUCUGAGAGGAUGAUCAGCCACAUUGGGACUGAGACACGGCCCAAACUCCUACGGGAGGCAGCAGUGGGGAAUCUUGCGCAAUGGGCGAAAGCCUGACGCAGCCAUGCCGCGUGAAUGAUGAAGGUCUUAGGAUUGUAAAAUUCUUUCACCGGGGACGAUAAUGACGGUACCCGGAGAAGAAGCCCCGGCUAACUUCGUG
Molecule: ribosomal RNA, 434 nt
Filed under: uncultured bacterium
Lineage: Bacteria
Description: partial 16S ribosomal RNA
Rfam family: Bacterial small subunit ribosomal RNA
Source: RNAcentral